This 1346-nucleotide ribosomal RNA is filed under the name uncultured bacterium. RNAcentral describes it as "partial 16S ribosomal RNA". It matches the Rfam family "Bacterial small subunit ribosomal RNA", at positions 28 to 1381 of the family's 1533-position model. The record is from RNAcentral.
GACGAACGCUCGUGGCGUGCUUAACACAUGCAAGUCGAACGGAAAGGCCCUGCUUUUGUGGGGUGCUCGAGUGGCGAACGGGUGAGUAACACGUGAGUAACCUGCCCUUGACUUUGGGAUAACUUCAGGAAACUGGGGCUAAUACCGGAUAGGAGCUCCUGCUGCAUGGUGGGGGUUGGAAAGUUUCGGCGGUUGGGGAUGGACUCGCGGCUUAUCAGCUUGUUGGUGGGGUAGUGGCUUACCAAGGCUUUGACGGGUAGCCGGCCUGAGAGGGUGACCGGCCACAUUGGGACUGAGAUACGGCCCAGACUCCUACGUGAGGCAGCAGUGGGGAAUAUUGCACAAUGGGCGGAAGCCUGAUGCAGCAACGCCGCGUGCGGGAUGACGGCCUUCGGGUUGUAAACCGCUUUCGCCUGUGACGAAGCGUGAGUGACGGUAAUGGGUAAAGAAGCACCGGCUAACUACGUGCCAGCAGCCGCGGUGAUACGUAGGGUGCGAGCGUUGUCCGGAUUUAUUGGGCGUAAAGGGCUCGUAGGUGGUUGAUCGCGUCGGAAGUGUAGUCUUGGGGCUUAACCCUGAGCGUGCUUUCGAUACGGGUUGACUUGAGGAGGGUAGGGGAGAAUGGAAUUCCUGGUGGAGCGGUGGAAUGCGCAGAUAUCAGGAGGAACACCAGUGGCGAAGGCGGUUCUCUGGGCCUUUCCUGACGCUGAGGAGCGAAAGCGUGGGGAGCGAACAGGCUUAGAUACCCUGGUAGUCCACGCUGUAAACGGUGGGUACUAGGUGUGGGGUCCAUUCCACGGGUUCCGUGCCGUAGCUAACGCUUUAAGUACCCCGCCUGGGGAGUACGGCCGCAAGGCUAAAACUCAAAGGAAUUGACGGGGCCCCGCACAAGCGGCGGAGCAUGCGGAUUAAUUCGAUGCAACGCGUAGAACCUUACCUGGGUUUGACAUGGAUCGGGAGUGCUCAGAGAUGGGUGUGCCUCUUUUGGGGUCGGUUCACAGGUGGUGCAUGGCUGUCGUCAGCUCGUGUCGUGAGAUGUUGGGUUAAGUCCCGCAACGAGCGCAACCCUUGUUCACUGUUGCCAGCACGUUAUGGUGGGGACUCAGUGGAGACCGCCGGGGUCAACUCGGAGGAAGGUGGGGAUGACGUCAAGUCAUCAUGCCCCUUAUGUCCAGGGCUUCACGCAUGCUACAAUGGCUGGCACAGAGAGUGGCGAGCCUGUGAGGGUGAGCGAAUCUCGGAAAGCCGGUCUCAGUUCGGAUUGGGGUCUGCAACUCGACCUCAUGAAGUCGGAGUCGCUAGUAAUCGCAGAUCAGCAACGCUGCGGUGAAUACGUUCCCGGGGCU